Molecule: long non-coding RNA, 349 nt
Organism: Oxyura jamaicensis (ruddy duck)
Lineage: Eukaryota; Metazoa; Chordata; Aves; Anseriformes; Anatidae
Exons: 3
Source: RefSeq, a predicted model, not a curated record
GGGCUGCCCUGGGAGCUACCAGAGGGAGAAGGCAGGGCGCAGUGCAAGGCAGAGGAGCAAGGUUCCUGCUGCUCACCAGGUCCUAGCUGUCCCCUUCCUCCCAGGGGAAGACUAACUUCCAGAAAUAUGGGAGAGGGAGACCAUAAACUGCAGAAAUCUGCAUUCUAACAUGCUGGCUCUACCCUGAGGAAAUGCCCUGCAGGUUUUAGCAUGCUGUUAGAACAGCCCUGCUGGAGGGAAGAACAGAUUUCCAUAACUGAUGUUUGUCAGAAGAACCUGGCUUGGAAGCAGCACUUCUUGGGUUAAAAUCUGAAACAUCUUGCUGCUUUGAUACACUUUUGUGCAGGAU